RNAcentral lists this ribosomal RNA (442 nucleotides) under uncultured bacterium. Its description in RNAcentral is "partial 16S ribosomal RNA". It matches the Rfam family "Bacterial small subunit ribosomal RNA", at positions 338 to 795 of the family's 1533-position model. The record is from RNAcentral.
ACUACGGGUGGCAGCAGUGGGGAAUAUUGGGCAAUGGGCGCAAGCCUGACCCAGCAACGCCGCGUGAAGGAAGAAGGCUUUCGGGUUGUAAACUUCUUGUAAGAGGGAAGAGCAGAAGACGGUACCUCUUGAAUAAGCCACGGCUAACUACGUGCCAGCAGCCGCGGUAAUACGUAGGGGGCAAGCGUUAUCCGGAUUUACUGGGUGUAAAGGGAGCGUAGACGGCAAUACAAGUCGGAAGUGAAAUACCCGGGCUCAACCUGGGAACUGCUUUGGAAACUGUAUGGCUGGAGUGCUGGAGAGGUAAGCGGAAUUCCUAGUGUAGCGGUGAAAUGCGUAGAUAUUAGGAGGAACACCAGUGGCGAAGGCGGCUUACUGGACAGUAACUGACGUUGAGGCUCGAAAGCGUGGGGAGCAAACAGGAUUAGAUACCCGGGUAAUC